AGAGUUUGAUCCUGGCUCAGGAUGAACGCUAGCUACAGGCUUAACACAUGCAAGUCGAGGGGAAACGACAUCGAAAGCUUGCUUUUGAUGGGCGUCGACCGGCGCACGGGUGAGUAACGCGUAUCCAACCUGCCCAUCACUUGGGGAUAACCUUGCGAAAGUAAGACUAAUACCCAAUGACGUCUCUAGAAGGCAUCUGAAAGAGAUUAAAGAUUUAUCGGUGAUGGAUGGGGAUGCGUCUGAUUAGCUUGUUGGCGGGGUAACGGCCACCAAGGCGACGGAUCAGUAGGGGUUCUGAGAGGAAGGUCCCCCGACAUUGGAACUGAGACACGGUCCAAACUCCUACGGGAGGCA
RNAcentral lists this ribosomal RNA (354 nucleotides) under uncultured bacterium. RNAcentral's name for it is "bacterial SSU rRNA". It matches the Rfam family "Bacterial small subunit ribosomal RNA", at positions 8 to 350 of the family's 1533-position model. The record is from RNAcentral.